UGUCCAUAAUUGAUUUAUUAAUACUGGAGUAUAAAACGGCAGCUUUUCCCAUUUUUAUCCUUCUCCACCUUGUUUUGUGCCCAGGGUUAAUGGGAGAUUGUUUUUAGAACAGAGUAAGUUCUCUAAAACCAGGUCUCAUGGCAUGGACAUAUAGUGUGUAUUGAAUAUCUCUUUGAGAUGUUUUGAAAUAAACAGAAAAACAGCUCUUCAAAUAUACAAGAAAGUUAGUCUAAAGCUGAGCGGAUAGGCUUUUAUUAUACUUUUUGAGCCUACAUAUAUAUUUAAAUACAAUAGAUUUAUAUGAUACCGUUUCGUAAGUUGAUAAUAAAAUUAUAAUUAAGAAGCUUACCUGCUAACUUCUGGUACAAAAGAAUCCUCAUUCCUUGUUAGAAGAACAGCUCUACUGAAUACUAAUGCAUGCCAAUUACUAAUACUAAUUAAAACAGGCAUGAUUAUAGCACAAGAAUAGACUGACAAGCCAAUGGAACAGAAUAGAUGGCUCAGAAAUAAAUCAUACGAAUAUAUGAUAUAUGACGGAAGAGAAAUCACAAGUCAGCAGAGAAGAGGAAUACUGAAUCAACAAAUAAUGCUAUUACUCAUUAGGAAAAGAAGCCAGUUUAGUCAUUAUCUUGUACCAUGGACCCACAUAAAUUCCAAGUGAAUAAAAAAAGUACAGUUGGUUUAAAAAAUUAAUCUAUCAAAAGCUAGAAGAAAUAGUAUCAAAUACCAAAGUUUUAGAAAGAAAACAUUCUAAGCUUAAAACAGUGAAAGAAAUUAAAAGGAAAAAUCAUCUGAUUUAACUACAUAUAAAUUUUAAAUCAUUCAAAAGAAUUAAAAUUGAAAAGUAAACAGCAAACUAGGGAAAUAUUUAUAGCAAAUAUAUAAAAAUGCUUAAAAUCUUACUCAUUGAUAUGAAAGAACUAUAAACUCCUAUAGAACACAAAACAGUGAGAUCGUUUUUCCUUUUCCUAAUCAUAACCAGUUUUACUUAGAUUUCUCUCUAGUCAAGGCCAAAACUCAUCUAACUGAAUAUCAGCACCUUGGGCAGAUGUAGAGUGAUUUUUUAGAGGCCUUGCUGUUACAUGAUCUCAUAGACUGGCGCUCUCAAACAACGGCUCCCGAGGUUGGAUGUUAAAGUCCAUACUUCUGUUUUCAACAACUCGAAAACAUUUACCCUCAGCUAUCCAUUUCUAACUUUGGUUGAUGCUAAUCGUAUCCGACUCUUCAGUGCAGCAACUAGCAGCUGGCCAAUGGGGUAACUCUUUGCACUUUUUCAGAGGGAGAUGCAGUAAGAAAACAGAGUUAAAACAACACAUGGAAUUUCUGGCCAACAGCUUUGCUCAUAAAGUUUUAGGAAGUUCAGCCAAGUCUCCUUAACCCCUGCUUCAAAUGUGAUUUCUCCUUCAUCUUCGCUCAAGUGGCCAGGCACGCAGAAAACCAGGAAGACCAAAGGAAACAGGAAACAUAUUCCAAUGUGCUAAUAUGAAUAUACAAAAUUACAACUUCAACCAUCUUACUACAAUUCCAGAGAACAGUACCUAACGUGUGAUUCUAUUUACAUAGAGCAAACAGGGAAAUGGCCUUUGUAAGAGCCAGUUAUUCAAGCACAGCCACUAUGAGGGCAUAGAACCAUGUGUCAGAGCCAGAGAGGGAGAUGGUUCCGAAGUCAAGAGCAUCUGAAACAGCCUCCAAAUGUUAGAC
Molecule: long non-coding RNA, 1701 nt
Filed under: Equus caballus (horse)
Lineage: Eukaryota; Metazoa; Chordata; Mammalia; Perissodactyla; Equidae
Description: lncRNA (ENSECAG00000055228.1)
Source: RNAcentral